ACGUGAUUCGUACCAAAUUUAUUGUGUAUCAAUAGUCAUUUAUUGUGUAUCAAUAUGUAGUAGAAAUUAAAUAAUAAUAAUAAUAAUAAUAAUAAUAAUAAUAAAUAAUAUAAAAAAAUAAAGUAAAAAAAAAAAGAAAAUUAAACCCACAUGUAUUCACGUGAACCCACCCCCCUUAAGGCUUUUCUUCUUCCUUAUUAAAACCCAAAAACAAAGAAAAUUCAAGAACCCAGAAUACCGAAAACCAAAAUUCAUCAGCGGCCAUCGGACGGCGGCCACCGAACCGCUCACCAGGUCGCACCAGUUUGUCAGCCGACCUCGCCAUAAGUGGCUCCUUAUUCGACCAACACACAGUUUUUGGUCUUCUUCUCCAUUAAUAAGGUAUACCCAUUAAAUUGAAAUUUUCAAUCAAGUUUAAAGGUAAGAAGAUGGUGUGAAGAAAUUUACCAUGGAAAAUGAAAGGAUUGAACCUCUUGAGGAUGACUUUAAGUCAAAAUGAAAAAUUUUGGUUUAUCCGAUUUACAAUCGGAACUGUGUCAGAUUUUUUGCAGAAAUUUGUAUAUUUUAAUUCAUUUCAAAUGAUUCUUAUAAUGUAA
Long non-coding RNA from Amaranthus tricolor (Joseph's coat), 596 nucleotides. RefSeq lists it as uncharacterized. The record is from RefSeq and is a predicted model, not a curated record. NCBI's taxonomy places the organism in Eukaryota, Viridiplantae, Streptophyta, Magnoliopsida, Caryophyllales, Amaranthaceae. The transcript has 2 exons.